AUUGAACGCUGGCGGCAGGCCUAACACAUGCAAGUCGAGCGGAUGAAGGGAGCUUGCUCCUGGAUUCAGCGGCGGACGGGUGAGUAAUGCCUAGGAAUCUGCCUGGUAGUGGGGGAUAACGUCCGGAAACGGGCGCUAAUACCGCAUACGUCCUGCGGGAGAAAGUGGGGGAUCUUCGGACCUCACGCUAUCAGGUGAGCCUAGGUCGGAUUAGCUAGUUGGUGGGGUAAAGGCCUACCAAGGCGACGAUCCGUAACUGGUCUGAGAGGAUGAUCAGUCACACUGGAACUGAGACACGGUCCAGACUCCUACGGGAGGCAGCAGUGGGGAAUAUUGGGCAAUGGGCGAAAGCCUGAUCCAGCCAUGCCGCGUGUGUGAAGAAGGUCUUCGGAUUGUAAAGCACUUUAAGUUGGGAGGAAGGGCUGUAAGUUAAUACCUUGCUGUUUUGACGUUACCAACAGAAUAAGCACCGGCUAACUUCGUG
RNAcentral lists this ribosomal RNA (484 nucleotides) under uncultured bacterium. Its description in RNAcentral is "partial 16S ribosomal RNA". It matches the Rfam family "Bacterial small subunit ribosomal RNA", at positions 30 to 507 of the family's 1533-position model. The record is from RNAcentral.